GAUGAAGAACGUAGCGAAAUGCGAUACUUGGUGUGAAUUGCAGAAUCCCGUGAACCAUCGAGUCUUUGAACGCAAGUUGCGCCCGAAGCCAUUAGGCCGAGGGCACGCCUGCCUGGGCGUCACACGUCGUUGCCCCCCCAUCUACUCCUUCGGGAUUGCGGGGGGCGGAUGAUGGCCUCUCGUGCGCCUCGUCGCGCGGUUGGCCUAAAUGCCAAGUCCUCGGCGACGCACGCCACGACAAUCGGUGGUUGCGAAACCUCGGUUGCCUGUCGUGUGCGGUCGUCGCGCAUCGAGGGCUCGAAAAAAUUGCCGGGCUUCGGCUCGACUUUCAACGCGACCCCAGGUCAGGCGGGGUUACCCGCUGAAUUUAAGCAUAUCAAUAAGCGGAGGGA
RNAcentral lists this unclassified non-coding RNA (392 nucleotides) under soil metagenome. Its description in RNAcentral is "partial contains 5.8S ribosomal RNA, internal transcribed spacer 2, and large subunit ribosomal RNA". The stretch from base 1 to 122 matches the Rfam family "5.8S ribosomal RNA", at positions 35 to 154 of the family's 154-position model. The record is from RNAcentral.